AAGCCUAUCCUAGCCCACCCAUCUCCCCAAUAACCACCAAAAAACCCCCAACAAUACUCAACUAAAACAUUCUACACCUUAGUAUAGGCGAUAGAAAAGGAACACCUGGCGCGAUAGAAAAAACGUACCGUAAGGGAUUGAUGAAAUAACAAUGAAACCACAAGCACUAAACAGCAAAGAUUAACCCUUGUACCUUUUGCAUCAUGAUUUAGCAAGAACAACCAGGCAAAACGAAUUUAAGCCUGCCACCCCGAAACCCAAGCGAGCUACUUACAGGCAGCCAUCCCAGGGCGAACCCGUCUCUGUCGCAAAAGAGUGGGAAGACCUGUUAGUAGAGGUGAAAAGCCAAUCGAGCUGGGUGAUAGCUGGUUGCCUGUGAAAAGAAUUUUAGUUCGCCCUUAACUCCACUCUACGGAUAUAAACAACCCACAUGAAGAGAGUUAAGAGUAAUUUAGAGGAGGUACAGCCCCUCUAAAAAAGGACACAACCUCCUAUAGCGGAUAACUAACCACCUUAACUAAAUGUGGGCCCUAAAGCAGCCACCAAUAAUGAGUGCGUCAAAGCUCUAAACAAAAAAUCCCCAAACAACAUGAAUCCCUACCAAUUAACAGGCCAAUCUAUAACAAUAGAAGAAUUAAUGCUAAAAUAAGUAACCUAGGGCCACUCCCUCUAAAGCACAAGCUUACAUCCGCACAUUAUUAACAGGAAUUAAUAUCUAAACUCAAACAAGCCCUUAUAUUUACCCCCACUGUUAACCCAACCCAGGAGUGCUUACUAGAAAGAUUAAAAUCUGUAGAAGGAACUAGGCAAAUCCAGGACCCGACUGUUUACCAAAAACAUAGCCUUCAGCCAACCAAGUAUUGAAGGUGACGCCUGCCCAGUGACAUUAGGUUCAACGGCCGCGGUAUCCUAACCGUGCGAAGGUAGCACAAUCAAUUGUCUCAUAAAUAGGGACUUGUAUGAAUGGCUAAACGAGGCCCUAACUGUCUCCUGCAGACAAUCAGUGAAAUUGAUCUCCUUGUGCAAAAGCAAGGAUAAUAUCGUAAGACGAGAAGACCCUGUGGAACUUAAAAAUCACUAGCCACCCCAAACAUCUCAAUCUCCCUACUAGGGCUGCAGAUUACCAUAAACCUGGCUAACAUUUUUUGGUUGGGGCGACCUUGGAGAAAAACCAAUCCUCCAAAAACAAGACCUUACCUCUUGAUCAAGAGCAACCACUCAACAUGCCAACAGUAACCAGACCCAAUACAAUUGAUUAAUGAACCAAGCUACCCCAGGGAUAACAGCGCAAUCCCCUCCAAGAGCCCAUAUCGACGAGGGGGCUUACGACCUCGAUGUUGGAUCAGGACAUCCUAGUGGUGCAGCCGCUACUAAGGGUUCGUUUGUUCAACGAUUAAUAGUCCUACGUGAUCUGAGUUCAGACCGGAGCAAUCCAGGUCGGUUUCUAUCUAUGAUAAACCUCUCCUAGUACGAAAGGACCGAAGAGGUGGGGCCUAUACAACAAGCACGCCCCCUCUUUAAAUAAUGUACCCAACUAAAUUAUAAAAAGAAUAACCAUUUAACCCAAAACAAGGGCAU
This is a non-coding RNA of Colius striatus (speckled mousebird), 1578 nucleotides long. NCBI's taxonomy places the organism in Eukaryota, Metazoa, Chordata, Aves, Coliiformes, Coliidae. The record is from the annotation of a RefSeq genome assembly.